RNAcentral lists this RNase P RNA (334 nucleotides) under Mesoplasma syrphidae. RNAcentral's name for it is "Bacterial RNase P class B". It matches the Rfam family "Bacterial RNase P class B". Rfam says of the family: Ribonuclease P (RNase P) is a ubiquitous endoribonuclease, found in archaea, bacteria and eukarya as well as chloroplasts and mitochondria. Its best characterised activity is the generation of mature 5'-ends of tRNAs by cleaving the 5'-leader elements of precursor-tRNAs. Lineage: Bacteria; Bacillati; Mycoplasmatota; Mollicutes; Entomoplasmatales; Entomoplasmataceae. The record is from Rfam by way of RNAcentral.
UUUGAGGGUCAAUCGCUAUACUUUAAAGAUAGUAUAGAGGAAAGUCCACGCUUGCACAAUCUGCGAUGAUUGUAGUGAUUAUGCUAGUUGAAAAAAUAAAACUAGGCAAUAUUUAUAUUGACGGCUUAACUAACCUAAGGGAAACUACGGUGAUGUUAUUAAAGUGCCACAGAGACGAUUAAAGGGAAACCUGGAAAUGGAACGCGGUAAACCCCAUAAGCAAGAAACUCAAAUUUUGGUAGAGGAGUUUAACUAAUAGAAAUGAAUAUUAGUUAGAAGCGAAAGCUAGAUAGAUGGUUGACACUGGGAACAGUACAAAACGUGGCUUAUUAUC